Molecule: transfer RNA, 72 nt
Filed under: Heterocephalus glaber (naked mole-rat)
Lineage: Eukaryota; Metazoa; Chordata; Mammalia; Rodentia; Bathyergidae
Rfam family: tRNA
About the family: Transfer RNA (tRNA) molecules are approximately 80 nucleotides in length.
Source: Rfam by way of RNAcentral
GGAGAUGUAGCUCAGUGGUAGAGCACUUGCCUAGCAUGUAUAAGGUCCUGGCUUCAACCCCCAGCAGCACAA